CCUGCUAGCCUUGUAGGAAAUUUUAACUUUGAAGAAAUCCCAGUCAACAGCACCGUUUAUUGAAGAGAGUGUUCUUUUCCCAUUACAUCUGACAUGAAGUGGUGUCAGCCUUCAGAGAUGGAAAUUAAUGAUGGAAUAAACUGGCAGUUGAAUACCUUCACCUGCACAUCAACCAUAUGGAAUUCCAUUGCUGCUCCUCUUCCCUACAUAGUUCCAACUCCAUUGGGAGCUUCUUCUCUAAUGGCACCUCAACCCAUUGUUCAUACCCAGCAAGGCCUAAGGACCAGUAGUCCUUCCACUCCAUCCCCAGAACAUCAGGAAACCUUGUGACUGGGAAUUUACCAUGGCUUAUACUGAAGGUCUUCGUGUAGCCUGAGGAGUCCGGCCCAAAGAAGAUUCAGGAACAUGAAAGCAGAGUUCAAACCUUUUUACAUCCAUGCUUUUUAUUGGGUUUGGUGGGAAAGGAAGAGCUUGGGUGGACAUAGGGGCAGAGGUAUUUGGAGGGGUGUAAUUACUCACCUUGGGGCCCAAGAUCAGGUUUUCUAAAUUGAGAACUGCAUAGUUACGGAAGGAACCCGGAGGACCCAGUGGGAUUUAGUGACAACCAUGGGAUGCAGAAUUAAUACUAGUGCCCUGAUGACUCACCAGAGGUCGUAGUCAAAAUGUAUUAGCACUAGAAGUGAGUCUGGAGAUCCUCUAGUCCAAAGCUCACAUUUCACAUGUGAGGACACUGAGCUAGAUAGGUGAAGACACUUGUCUAAUGAGGCACAGCCUGUUAAUGACAGGGUUAAACUAGAACCCAGGUUCUAGGGCCUAUUACGCAGUGGCAAGCCUAGGAAUGGAUUCUGGAAAUAAAGCAGGGUAAUGUCUGGGAGUCCCCAGGGCCAUCAUUCUGGCUGAUGAGGUGGUGGGGUCAGGUUGCAGAAGGGUUAGUUGCCUGGAACAAAGGACCUCUCCACAUCACCUUGGAUAAAUAACGUCAGUCCCAGGAAAAAGGAAAUCACAUUGCCACAUUUUACCUUGUCUAGGAAAAUCCUACCUUGUCCUCUCUUGUAUAAACAGAACAAAAACACGGAAGAUACAAUAACAAUACACAGUGAGAACACCACCAGCACAUUCAGCAACCCAGGGUAGUGAGUAUGGAGGCCCAUUGGCAUGUCUGGAAAUAGAAGAAACAUGUAUUCUGACUUACUAGGAAAUAGCCCCAAGAGGCUGGGACAGCUUAGCAUGCAGGAGCACUAUCACAAUUGAGAGCCCUCCAGGGGAGUUCCAAAGCACCUAGGGGAAACUGCACUUUCUGCUCUCAGAAGUCAGGAUUAGAAACUGAAUCAGAAGGUCGAGCAGAGGCUGUCUCAGAACAUCCUGAAAUGCUUGGCAUCUCUCUGAAGGCCUUGGGCUCUUUCCCAGUGGGCUUCCUGAGAGGAAAUGACCCCAGUGACCAGGCUCAGGAAAAAGGAGACACAUUCCCCCAGCCUCAGGAUUUGCAGCUCUUCGGAGUAAUUUCAGAGGCUUGUGGAGAUUGGGACAGAACCUGUUACCUGCACAGAGCAAACAUGGAGUGAGAGUUGUGGGUUCCCAGCUGUACAAAUUUAAGUCAGCUCUUGGUCCUCUGAGUUAUGGAAGUUGCUAAGGAUAUCACCCUCUUCUUCCAGGGAACUCCGAUUGCAUAUCACAUCAUUUUCUUCCUUCUCUGCAGAGCACAUUAGUGUGACAUUUGCAGGUACUAUUCGCUGAAGUCAUUAAACUCUGGCUUCCCAAAAUAUGAGCCAGUGGUGCACUAGAGCUGGCUUGUAUCAGCUUGUGAGAACCAAUUGUUAAAUUUCUAGAAAUUCUGCAAGAUGGUUGUUAAACACAGUCAUCAUUCAAAAUUAAAUUAUAAAAAUUUACAAUUAAAUUAUUUUAAAAGCAAAGGUAAUAAAUAUUCAAAAUUUAUCACCUUCUAAUUAUUUUUUGACAUUUGAAUGUUACCUGUGCUCUUGAGGUUAUUUACGUCGAUUUUAUCUGUAUGCUACUGGGCAUGUCUUCCCAACUCGACAUGGAUUGAAAUCAGCCAUUGCGAGAGUAUCUACGCAACAGAAAUUGGUAGAUGCUACAAACUACGGCUUGAUCUAUGUUUGUAACUCUAGACUUGAAAGCAAUGGAGAAAAUGUUACUAAUGCAGAUUCAGCUUAAAAGUGAGUUGUGUCUGUAGCCAUUAUUGUGAAUAGCACCAAAAAAUGAGGCAAUAUUUUUCUGGUAUUUGAAAACCAUUAUCCAAUUCAGCAAGUAAGUCACUCACAUUGUUGACGAAUGAUCCAAGUACCAAUAUAAAAAUAAUUGUUGAAUUACUUUUUUUAUUACUUAACAUAAAUGAAUAUAUCAACCAACAUUUAUGUCAGAACUACACUAGUUCAUCAAUUGCAACUAUAGGUUGUCUAGGGAGAUAUGUAUUUGGCAAAAAUCAAAAGCAUCCUGCCAGAAUUGGUUAUACGGAAUUUAUGAUAAAGAGUAUUGUAUAUUUUAUUAUCAUUUAUGAAAUUGUGUGCUAUACACCUUUUAUAUCAAUACAAUUUAUAAUAAAUACCUACCCCCUUUCUAAAGAGAAUUAGUUGAACAUUUAUCAGCACAACACUAUGUGAAAUGAUUUUUUUAAAGUUGUUCUGUUUCCUGCUGUAUGCAUAUUUUCUUUACAUUUUGUUUUGUUUUGUUUCAAAAGUGUCCAUGGUGAAAAACUACAACCUUUUAAAGUCUGUUUUAAAAAAUGCUUUUACUAAAGCAAUCUAAAGAUAAGCUGUAAAAAGUGUGGCCUACUGAAGGGUUACUAAAGAUCAAUCAUAUUUAAGAUCAGGUAAUAGCUAGAUUUGGAUCUGGCAAAAGAAAUUUCUUUUCUUUUCUUUUCUUUCUUUCUUUCUUUUUUUUUUUGCCAAGAGAUAAGAAAAUGACCACCUAUAGAGUUGAUAAGCUUAGUGUACUCUUGGAAAAGCUGCUGUAGCCAUGGCAGGAAGGAAAUAGAGGAGUUAGAAAGAAUUGGUAUACAACUUUCUAAUUAAGAGAAGACUAGAAAGGAAAUACAUUCAGCAGUAUAAAUAAGGGAAUCUUCUGUUUGUACCUGUAAGGGAGUAAAACACGAGUGAUAAGUUGAUAAGGCUUUUGGCUCCAAAAGAAAAACCUGGCCUGAAGUGUCAAAUCAUAUAUCUCUUAGAGGGAUUUAUUCCAGAUUAGAAUUAGUGAUAAUUUGGAGAACUAUUUCCUAAAGUUUGAAGUAAGUCCUUGAUUAGUUUUAAUAAUGAUUCAUAUAGAUAGGGAUCAGUGAAGUUGAACCAAAUUUGCAUGUGUGUCUGAUAUUUCAAUGUUUUUCUGUAGAAACAUUACCUACUUUUCCAAAACAAAAAAAUUUUUUGGAAGGCAUUGAGGUGGGGGAAAGUGGUGAAGAAUAGAGUUCCCAUAUACUUUUCUCUCCAGGAACAGAGACAUUAUCUCACAAAGCUGCUGACCAGAAAAAGUCAGAGUCAUGGUUAGCUAACAUGUCUUCAUCCUCCCAAGCCAAAUCGCAUAGAAGCCACUGGAGAACUAGUUUGGAAUUCCGGCUUCACUACUAUGUAGUUGUAGGAUUUUGGAGAAGCUGUACAGGUUCACUGAGCUUUAGUUUCCUCAUUCACAAUAUGACGAUACCAAUUUCUUCCUCAUAUUAUAUAUAAGGACAUAUCUAUGUCUAUAUGCUUGAUCGUACAUUAUCUGUGUAGAUAAACCGGUAACAGUGAUUGCCUCUGAGAAGAGAGACUUACUUUCCGUUGCAUAAUUCUUAGGCUCAUGGUAGAAUUUGUGCAAGUGGAUGAAGCACUGCCUCACUCGAAAACACUCCAGUGAAAGAAGAGAAAGGACAGAAAACAGCCCGAGGAAUAAUUACUUGGUUCUGUAUGACACAUGUGCUUUUAAAGGGUUGUAGUGUAGGAUGACAUUGGGUAAGUCCACGGUCCUAGAAGCCUAGGUGGAGUUCUUAGGAUUUUGUAUGUAGACUAUGAAGUUUUGGAAACGUUUGAGCUGGAGAGAAGACAUUCUGUUCAAAGGUGGCUUUCAGGAAAGGCUGGUGCGACAGGCAGGGUAUUUAUUAGAAUGAGGCCAGUGACCACUCUGAAACAGACACAAAGUAAGUUCCCUUCAAGGGGCAGAAAGCUCCCUGGGAUGGUGAGACCAGAAAGGCACAGAGGCUGAACCCUCGUGAUGGAGCUAGGUCCCAGGUUCGCUAGCAUCCGAGAGGGGGAUUGGGUCGCUCCAGAGGCCAUUGUGAAGGCUGCUGCCAGUUCUAGGGUCGGGGUGGGGUCAGGCUAGGUCCCUAUUCCUAGGGCUUUAGCACCGCUCACUCACAAAUCCCCUUUUCCCAGGAGGGCCUAAGGGUUUUUCCUGUCGCUCUAGCUUCUCUUCCGCGGCCCUUCCACGCUUGUCACUUACCUGAGGGCAGCCAAUGAGCACCUACAGGUUGGGCUACUUUCGG
Molecule: long non-coding RNA, 4471 nt
Organism: Macaca mulatta (Rhesus monkey)
Lineage: Eukaryota; Metazoa; Chordata; Mammalia; Primates; Cercopithecidae
Source: Ensembl